This is a long non-coding RNA of Folsomia candida, 416 nucleotides long. RefSeq lists it as uncharacterized. The transcript has 2 exons. NCBI's taxonomy places the organism in Eukaryota, Metazoa, Arthropoda, Collembola, Entomobryomorpha, Isotomidae. The record is from RefSeq and is a predicted model, not a curated record.
ACAUGCACCUUAAAACUUGUUACAUAUCUUGAUCUUGUAUAAAAGCCAGACUGGAAUUGUUCCUCAGCAUCAUAAGCAUUCCAACUCCUCUUUUAUAAACAACUAUUUGAAUUUCUUCAGAAAAUCAACGCCUUCAAGAUGAUGAAACUCGUCCUUGUCGUUCUCGCCCUCAUCGCCGUGGCGUCCGCCCAGCUUUUGUACACUUCCGGUGUGAGCGGCCCCAACUUUCACAACGCUUUCGCCUCCUCCGCCUCCACCGGAAUCCGACGAUACGGAUCCACCGCUGGAUUGGCCUACGCCGCCCCAGCCUACGCUGCUGUCCCAGCCUACUAUUAAAAUUUUGAAAGUGUUAUAUUUCCAAAUUUUUUGAACCAUCUUGUCAAUAAAGCAGUGAUCUGGUCUGAACCUUUACAAAA